UCUUGAAGCACGGACCAAGGAGUCUAACAUGUACGCGAGUCAUUGGGACCGCACUAAACCUAAAGGCGAAAUGAAAGUAAAGGUCGCGGCGCAAGCCCGGCCCACAGAGGGGAGACGGCCGCGCGCCGAGAGGCCGCGGCCAGCAUCCCCGGGGCGUCUCGUUGUCAUUGCGACACAGUAGGCGCACCCAGAGCGUACACGUUGGGACCCGAAAGAUGGUGAACUAUGCCUGGUCAGGUCGAAGUCAGGGGAAACCUGGCACUCGGAGUCUGUACAGAGUGUUGUCGCGACUCGUUCGUGCACACACCAUCAGUCUCAUCUGGUAAAGCGAAUGAUUAGAGGCCUUGGGGCCGAAACGACCUCAACCUAUUCUCAAACUUUAAAUGGGUGAGAAAGACGACUUGCUUAAAGGCAUGAAGUCGAAAGAGCGGAUGAACGAGUGCCAAGUGGGCCAUUUUUGGUAAGCAGAACUGGUGCUGUGGGAUGAACCAAACGUCGAGUUAAGGCGCCUAAAACGAUGCUCAUGGGAUACCAUGAAAGGCGUUGGUUGCUUAAGACAGCAGGACGGUGGCCAUGGCGAUGUUGAUGUGCAGUCGAAUAAGCUAUUGGCGGAGAAUGUCAUAGAAAGCUUGACCACAUCGGGCGAAAGGGAAUCCGUUUCCUAUUACGGAACCCAGAUGCGGAACCGACCAUGCGGGCCAAUGCGAAACCGCGACUCUCCGUACGUACCGCCCGCCCCGUCGCCUCGCGCGUCGGACGCGGGAAACGGCGUGCGCGUCGCGCGUCUAGCAACUCGUCGGGGUAACCCAAAGGGACCCGGAGACGCCGCCGGACGAUCGAGGCAGAGUUUUCUGUUCUGCAUAAGCAUUCGAGUUCCCUGGAAUCGCCUAGCGCGGAGAUAGGGUUUGGAAUGCGAAGAGCACCGCACUUGCGGCGGUGUCUCGAUCUGUCUCGCGGACCUUGAAAAUCCGGGAGAGGGCCACGUGGAGGUGUCGCACUGGAUCGUACCCAUAUCCGCAGCAGGUCUCCAA
This 1031-nucleotide ribosomal RNA is filed under the name Sasquaperla hoopa. RNAcentral's name for it is "eukaryotic LSU rRNA". It matches the Rfam family "Eukaryotic large subunit ribosomal RNA", at positions 652 to 1870 of the family's 3401-position model. Lineage: Eukaryota; Metazoa; Arthropoda; Insecta; Plecoptera; Chloroperlidae. The record is from RNAcentral.